This 652-nucleotide ribosomal RNA is filed under the name Chrysis solida. RNAcentral's name for it is "eukaryotic LSU rRNA". It matches the Rfam family "Eukaryotic large subunit ribosomal RNA", at positions 402 to 812 of the family's 3401-position model. The record is from RNAcentral. Lineage: Eukaryota; Metazoa; Arthropoda; Insecta; Hymenoptera; Chrysididae.
AAACCGUUCAGGGGUAAACCUGAGAAACCCGAAAGAUCGAAUGGGGAGAUUCAGCGUCAGCGGCGUUGGCUCGGCGAAGUGGACGAUGUCGCGGACUACGGUAUCGCGACACGUUAUCACUAUGCCGCGUCCGACGUCGUCGUCGUGCACUUCUCCCCUAGUAGAACGUCGCGACCCGUUGGGUGCCGGUCUACGGCCCGAGGUGUCAGACUGUCGCGUCGCUUCGGCGCAUGCGGCAGACCCUCGGUUGCCCGGCCGGCUGCCCGGCGGUAUAACGCACGGUAUCUGGCCGCAAUUUUUGAACUGCGUCGGGCCCGCCGCAAGCGAGGCCAGUGUCCCGGAGGUACGGACCCGGUGCCGUCCCCGAGCCUGGCCAGCUGUUGGCAGGCGGAGUCCUCAGACGGGCAGAAAUAAUGGUACCGGUCGGCGACGCUACUGCUUUGGGUACUCUCAGGACCCGUCUUGAAACACGGACCAAGGAGUCUAACAUGUGCGCGAGUCAUUGGGAUCUAAAAGCCUAAAGGCGCAAUGAAAGUGAAGGUCGGCUUCGCGUCGACCGAGGGAGGAUGGGCCGCGCCACGACGCGGCUCCGCACUCCCGGGGCGUCUCGUUCUCAUUGCGAGAAGAGGCGCACCCAGAGCGUACACGUUGG